RNAcentral lists this ribosomal RNA (299 nucleotides) under uncultured Alphaproteobacteria bacterium. RNAcentral's name for it is "partial 16S ribosomal RNA". It matches the Rfam family "Bacterial small subunit ribosomal RNA", at positions 20 to 349 of the family's 1533-position model. The record is from RNAcentral. Lineage: Bacteria; Pseudomonadati; Pseudomonadota; Alphaproteobacteria.
UGGCUCAGAACGAACGCUGGCGGCAGGCUUAACACAUGCAAGUCGAGCGCCCCGCAAGGGGAGCGGCAGACGGGUGAGUAACGCGUGGGAAUCUACCCAGCUCUACGGAACAACUCCGGGAAACUGGAGCUAAUACCGUAUACGUCCUUCGGGAGAAAGAUUUAUCGGAGUUGGAUGAGCCCGCGUUGGAUUAGCUAGUUGGUGGGGUAAAGGCCUACCAAGGCGAGGGACAAUAGCUGGUCUGAGAGGACGACCAGCCACACUGGGAUUUUUUCACGGCCCAGGGACAUACGGGAGGC